GUUGAACUCAGUUCAGCAAUGCUUAGAGGCGCUUCUGUAUUCAGAGCUGCGCUAAGAACCGAGAACCACCCGGUAUUAAAACAGCGCCGACAGUCCAGAAAGCUUUUCUGGACAUUCUUGAGGAAGUGAAGGACCACGUGCCUAACAUUGUAGGAGUCCCUCAGUCUUCUCAGGGUGGAAAGGGCUCUGUUUUGGAUCUAAUAACCUGGCCUGCAAAAUCAGCCUUCUCUGGCAUGCUGCAGGCUUCUUACACAAUACACAUGUAUCUGUCAAUGCACUUUAACAGGGCUAUGUCCCGGGUAAGAAAGGCUGCAGUGGAAGAACAGCCUAGGUGGAAAAGCACAGAGAGGGCAGGGAUGGAGUUUGUGGUUUCAAAGCAUGGAGUCACUGCCAGGUAUUAUGAAUCGACGCGACAGGAGUGGCUGUAUGGUUCCUAUGGCGACUCCUCCGUCUCCUUACUCUAAGUAAAAAGGAUAAGGAUCUCCAAACUUUGUAUUUGAACAUGUUUUAAACACUGGUUACCGCAGUUCAGUAAUGUUGUAACCUGAUCGUAACUGUCAACGCUCAAGCAUAAAUCAGUUAUAUGUCAGCCAUAGACCAUCACUUCAAGAAGUAUUACAAUGUAAUAAACACAAUAGAUCAGACAUUUCUUAUUUAAAAAAAUCAAAUUUUAUAACCAAGUAAAAAAAAAAAAUCAUUAAAAAACAAACAAAAGAAAAACUGUUAACCAUAGUCAAAGGUCACUG
Long non-coding RNA from Polyodon spathula (Mississippi paddlefish), 746 nucleotides. RefSeq lists it as uncharacterized. Lineage: Eukaryota; Metazoa; Chordata; Actinopteri; Acipenseriformes; Polyodontidae. The transcript is spliced from 4 exons. The record is from RefSeq and is a predicted model, not a curated record.